This 394-nucleotide ribosomal RNA is filed under the name uncultured bacterium. RNAcentral describes it as "partial 16S ribosomal RNA". It matches the Rfam family "Bacterial small subunit ribosomal RNA", at positions 523 to 918 of the family's 1533-position model. The record is from RNAcentral.
AUACGGAGGAUGCAAGCGUUAUCCGGAUUUAUUGGGUUUAAAGGGUGCGUAGGCGGAUGAUUAAGCGUGAGGUGAAAUGCCACUGCUCAACAGUGGAACUGCCUCGCGAACUGGUUGUCUUGAAUGCUCCUGCCGUGGGAGGAAUGUGUGGUGUAGCGGUGAAAUGCAUAGAGAUCACACAGAACACCGAUUGCGAAGGCAUCUCACGAAGGGGUGAUUGACGCUGAGGCGCGAAAGCGUGGGGAUCAAACAGGAUUAGAUACCCUGGUAGUCCACGCAGUAAACGAUGAUAACUAACCGCUGGGUCGUAGUGAUUCAGUGGCCAAGCGAAAGCGAUAAGUUAUCCACCUGGGGAGUACGACCGCAAGGUUGAAACUCAAAUGAAUGGACGGGG